Molecule: long non-coding RNA, 1288 nt
Organism: Corvus hawaiiensis (hawaiian crow)
Lineage: Eukaryota; Metazoa; Chordata; Aves; Passeriformes; Corvidae
Exons: 2
Source: RefSeq, a predicted model, not a curated record
UUCCCCUCUCCAUUCCCCAUCCCCUCCCUGCUUCCUCUCUCUGCUCCCUGUCCCCUUGCCGCUGGCACAGUGCCAGUCCCACCUGGAAUUCCUGGGAUCCCUCUCCAACCCCACCACACACACCCCGCACUUGCCCGGACCUGGCAACACUGACCCUUCCCAAACCCCAUCCCGGCCCCUUUUCCAUGUGCUCUGCAAACUCCGCCUCAGGGAUGAAACCUGAGGAUUUGAUGAUGCUUUCCCAGCUUUUCCAGGAAGGGCUGUAGUAGGAUGAGAUUUCCAGGUGUUCCUAGGAAUCUCCUGCCCUGGGAGAGAGGGAUCAGCUGUCAGUGAUGCUCCAGCUCUCCCAUUUUCCUGGCUCCCCGCUUCCUGAGUGACUUUUAAAAAGCUGUGGAGCGUUCCUGGAGUCACAUCCUGCAGGGAACAGAGCGGGGUGGGAGCAGAUCCUGAAAAGCCCUGGAUGCAAGGGGAAAGAGGGGGAUUGGCCCGCGUGGGAAGGAGCCUUGGCAGCGCCACAAAGAGCUGGGGGGAAAAAAACCGGGAAUCUGCGAUUUGUUUGGCGUUUCAUUCCCGGUUUUCUCACAUUCCUCCGCCUGACUCACAAACCUGCUGCUCUGCAUUUCUGGGAUUCAUCCUGGAUGUCCUGGAGCUCUGCAGCCUCCCUGGAAUCCUGCUCCUCCCAGGAUGGAUCCCAGGGCAUCCCUGCUCCGCAGGGAAGUUUUUUUCCCUUGGAAACAGCUGAUUGCUGUUUAAUUAACAACACUUCCCACGUUCCCUGAGCUUUGGGAAUUGUGCAGAGGAGCUUUUCUCCAGGAUGCUGCUCUCUGUGCUUAUUCCCUAAGCCGGGAUGAGUCGAUCCAAGAGGUUCCCGUAAUUUUGGAAGUCGCCCUGGAUAAUCCACAAACACAGAAGGAUCAGGAACAAAUCCGUGACAGCGGGGAGAAAACAAAAUUUCAUCCAAGGGACACGCGGGGAAGCGCAAGGACAAGGACACGGACGUGGGAUACGGGCGGAUUCAGGAUUGGAAGGAUUGCUCCCUGGAGUUUUGCCGGGAAAACAAACCUGGAAUUAACAGGUAAUUUUUCCAUAUUUCCACCUGCCUUUAACUAAAAUAAUCCCAAAUUACCGCCUCCCAGCCCAGCCUUUGCUCCAACUUCCAGAAGACUCCGGAACGGCGACUUUAUAGCCCAAAACUCCAUAAAACCAGAGCUGGAAUUACCUCGUUCUCCUGGGGAAACAAUUCCAGGUUUUAUCUGUGGAUAUUAAAAGGGGAUGAUUGUUCCGUGUA